Asterias rubens (European starfish) is the source of this 101-nucleotide long non-coding RNA. RefSeq lists it as uncharacterized. The transcript is spliced from 2 exons. The record is from RefSeq and is a predicted model, not a curated record. Lineage: Eukaryota; Metazoa; Echinodermata; Asteroidea; Forcipulatida; Asteriidae.
CUUGAUGCCUCAAGUACGAUUCAAGUUUCACUGCAACGUGUUCCUUUAAGCAACUCUAUGAAAAUUGGGCCAGGGUAAUUGUAUCUAUUGUACAGAAACAA